Molecule: ribosomal RNA, 495 nt
Filed under: uncultured bacterium
Lineage: Bacteria
Description: partial 16S ribosomal RNA
Rfam family: Bacterial small subunit ribosomal RNA
Source: RNAcentral
GAUGAACGCUAGCGGGAGGCCUAACACAUGCAAGCUGAGCGGUAGAGUUUCUUCGGAGACUUGAGAGCGGCGUACGGGUGCGGAACACGUGUGCAACCUGCCUUUAUCAGGGGGAUAGCCUUUCGAAAGGAAGAUUAAUACCCCAUAAUAUAUAGAGUGGCAUCACUUUAUAUUGAAAACUGAGGUGGAUAAAGAUGGGCACGCGCAAGAUUAGAUAGUUGGUGAGGUAACGGCUCACCAAGUCGAUGAUCUUUAGGGGGCCUGAGAGGGUGAUCCCCCACACUGGUACUGAGACACGGACCAGACUCCUACGGGAGGCAGCAGUGAGGAAUAUUGGACAAUGGGUUAGCGCCUGAUCCAGCCAUCCCGCGUGAAGGACGACGGCCCUAUGGGUUGUAAACUUCUUUUGUACAGGGAUAAACCUAUUUACGUGUAAAUAGCUGAAGGUACUGUACGAAUAAGCACCGGCUAACUCCGUGCCAGCCGCCGCCGUAA